Molecule: long non-coding RNA, 516 nt
Filed under: Citrus sinensis (sweet orange)
Lineage: Eukaryota; Viridiplantae; Streptophyta; Magnoliopsida; Sapindales; Rutaceae
Description: long non-coding RNA (CSIN_LNC003332)
Source: RNAcentral
CCACCUUCACUAUAAUUUCCAAGAAUCUCAUCAGCGAACAACUGAAUAUUCUGGUCCGACGAACCGCCUCCGGCCACCGCCUGCCUUGCCGCAUGCUUCAAUUCCACUGCAUUUUUCUUGUAAUACUCCGAUUUCGGUCCAUUAAUAAUUUCUUCAACACAUUUCUCCAACUCCUCGUUGCCAACGAAGCCAUCUUCACUGGGCCUAAGCCUUAGACCUAUCUUGAAAACAUCGGCAACGAGUUUAGCAUUUGUUGGCUGAUCGCUCCAUUGAGGGUAUGCAAUCACUGGCACGCCGGCGACGAUUGUUUCCAGCAACGAACUCCAACCACAAUGAGUCACAAAACAGGCAAGAGCAGGAUGAGCUAACACUUUAGUUUGAGGACACCAUGAUACCACAAGGCCUCGGUUUUUAGUUUCUUCAAGAAACCAUAACGGCAAAGUACCCUCACCAUCAGAAGAAGCAGAUUCUGAUUGCUUAACAAUCCACAAAAAUGGAAGCUUAAUGUUCUUCAAA